CCCGGCUCCCUGUUUUUGCAGAGGGGGCCCAGCAGACUGCAGCAGUACUUUACAGCUCUUACAGCUCUCUAACUCACGCUCGCCCCCUCUGCAAAUACAGGGAGUCGGGGGCCCCACAAUGCCACCGGACCACCAGUGAUGGAAUCUCCCCCCUCCCUGAACCAGGUAAGAAGCAGGGAAGAGGGAAUAACCUUUAUUAGAUUUAAUGUGGGGGGAAGGGAAAAUGCUCCAUUUGCACAACAUUCAUACACUAGUAAACACACACACACUACACUGACACACACUCUGCAUUCAUUAAACUAACACACACUCUGCAUUCAUUACACUAACACACACUCUGUAUUCACUACACUGACACACACUCUGCAUUCACUACACUGACACACACACUGCAUUCACUACCCUGACACACACUCUGCAUUCACUACCCUGACACACACUCUGCAUUCACUACCCUGACACACACUCUGCAUUCACUACACUGACACACACUCUGCAUUCAUUACACUGACACACACUCUGCAUUCACUACACUGACACACACUCUGAUUUCUGGUGGCAGCCCUGCUGGUGACUAUAGUGUCCCUUUAAAUGUUUUUAUCUCCUGCUCUGUAAAUUGAAUGUUGGUCACAUGCAGGAGUCUCCUGCAGGGUCUAAAAGGCUAUCAACAGAGCAGGAGAUGAGAAAUUCUAAAUAAACAGAAAUUCCAAUAAAGGAAGUGUAAACAUUAGAUAAUUAUUUGCAGGAAGUGUUAAGGAAGGCUGUGUAAGUCACAUACAGGGAGGUGUGACUAGGGCUGCAUAAACAAAGUGAUUUAAAUCCUAAAUGGCAGAGGAUUGAGCAGUGAGUCUGCAGAGGCAAGAUCUAUACACCAAAAC
Pelobates cultripes (western spadefoot toad) is the source of this 878-nucleotide non-coding RNA. Lineage: Eukaryota; Metazoa; Chordata; Amphibia; Anura; Pelobatidae. The record is from the annotation of a GenBank genome assembly.